GUCGUUGCAGACCCCAUUGACAGCCUCCAGCUCCAAGCACUCCUCUGGGGCCACGGUGGCCAACAUGGCUUCUCUUUCAUAAUGCAGUCUCUCCGCUUCAUCGUAUUUGUGCUUGUCUACCCAGACCUUUUCUAUGGGGCAGGGAGGCUUCCUGGUCCUCAUCUGCAAGGUCAGAGAGAAAGAGGGCACACCGGCAGCGCUGAGCCCUCCCGCUCCGCACCGCUCCGCUCGGCCUCCGCGGGGCAAAAGGAGAGCGGCGCUCCGCGCGCGGGGCAUUGUGGGGGCGGAGCGGACCACUCGCGGCUGUAGCGCGGGGGGGGGGUGGAUCAAAAAAAAAAAUACCGCGCACGUUUCGACGUUGAAAGGCGGUGAGAGAGAAUCGCGCUUUCUUCAAUAGAUUUAUUAGACCGCGUGAAGAGCGUGGGGUGAGAGAAGAGAGAGAGAAGAGUGGGAAAAGGAAGGGUGACAAAGGAGAUUGCCCCCCUUGCGCGUGGAGUGGUACAUUCCAAAUGCAUAGGGAGUGCAGAGGGAGAGUC
This 536-nucleotide long non-coding RNA is filed under the name Gallus gallus (chicken). The record is from RNAcentral. Lineage: Eukaryota; Metazoa; Chordata; Aves; Galliformes; Phasianidae.